GAUUGAACGCUGGCGGCAUGCCUUACACAUGCAAGUCGAACGGCAGCACGGACUUCGGUCUGGUGGCGAGUGGCGAACGGGUGAGUAAUAUAUCGGAACAUACCCAGUAGUGGGGGAUAACUAUCCGAAAGGAUAGCUAAUACCGCAUACGAUCUGUGGAUGAAAGCAGGGGAUCUUCGGACCUUGUGCUAUUGGAAUGGCCGAUAUCUGAUUAGCUAGUUGGUAGGGUAAAAGCCUACCAAGGCGACGAUCAGUAGCUGGUCUGAGAGGACGACCAGCCACACUGGAACUGAGACACGGUCCAGACUCCUACGGGAGGCAGCAGUGGGGAAUUUUGGACAAUGGGGGCAACCCUGAUCCAGCAAUGCCGCGUGAGUGAAGAAGGCCCUCGGGUUGUAAAGCUCUUUUGUCAGGGAAGAAACGGAGUUCUCUAAUAUAGGAUUCUAAUGACGGUACCUGAAGAAUAAGCACCGGCUAACUACGUGCCAGCAGCCGCGGUAAUACGUAGGGUGCAAGCGUUAAUCGGAAUUACUGGGCGUAAAGCGUGCGCAGGCGGUUUUGUAAGUCUGAUGUGAAAUCCCCGGGCUCAACCUGGGAACUGCAUUGGAGACUGCAAGGCUAGAGUGUGUCAGAGGGGGGUAGAAUUUCCACGUGUAGCAGUGAAAUGCGUAGAGAUGUGGAGGAAUACCGAUGGCGAAGGCAGCCCCCUGGGAUAACACUGACGCUCAUGCACGAAAGCGUGGGGAGCAAACAGGAUUAGAUACCCUGGUAGUCCACGCCCUAAACGAUGUCUACUAGUUGUCGGGACUUAAUUGUCUUGGUAACGCAGCUAACGCGUGAAGUAGACCGCCUGGGGAGUACGGUCGCAAGAUUAAAACUCAAAGGAAUUGACGGGGACCCGCACAAGCGGUGGAUGAUGUGGAUUAAUUCGAUGCAACGCGAAAAACCUUACCUACCCUUGACAUGGCAGGAAUCCCGAAGAGAUUUGGGAGUGCUCGCAAGAGAACCUGCACACAGGUGCUGCAUGGCUGUCGUCAGCUCGUGUCGUGAGAUGUUGGGUUAAGUCCCGCAACGAGCGCAACCCUUGCCAUUAGUUGCUACGAAAGGGCACUCUAAUGAGACUGCCGGUGACAAACCGGAGGAAGGUGGGGAUGACGUCAAGUCCUCAUGGCCCUUAUGGGUAGGGCUUCACACGUCAUACAAUGGUACAUACAGAGGGCCGCCAACCCGCGAGGGGGAGCUAAUCCCAGAAAGUGUAUCGUAGUCCGGAUUGUAGUCUGCAACUCGACUACAUGAAGUUGGAAUCGCUAGUAAUCGCGGAUCAGCAUGUCGCGGUGAAUACGUUCCCGGGUCUUGUACUCACCGCCCGUCA
This 1372-nucleotide ribosomal RNA is filed under the name uncultured beta proteobacterium. RNAcentral describes it as "bacterial SSU rRNA". It matches the Rfam family "Bacterial small subunit ribosomal RNA", at positions 27 to 1399 of the family's 1533-position model. Lineage: Bacteria; Pseudomonadati; Pseudomonadota; Betaproteobacteria. The record is from RNAcentral.